UUAUAGAGAGUCCAAGAGAAAUAUAUUUAAUGGACUAAGGAAGUUAUAUUAUAUAAGCAAGCCCAAUUAAUUAAUUAAGUAUGAGACUUGUAGAUAAUAUGAUUUAAGGGCGAUUAAAUUAAUAAUCUAGCCUAGCAUAUUAUGUAUGGGACAAGAAUUAUAAAGGCCCAAUCUAAUUUGUAGAGGAAGCCUAAUUUUAUUUUUGUUAGUAAGUAAUACAAGUAAAUAAGGCUAGCUCAAUGGAAUUAAUUAAUGGCCCAAACUAAGCUUACUUGUG
This 277-nucleotide long non-coding RNA is filed under the name Panax ginseng (ginseng). Its description in RNAcentral is "long non-coding RNA (PGIN_LNC017077)". Lineage: Eukaryota; Viridiplantae; Streptophyta; Magnoliopsida; Apiales; Araliaceae. The record is from RNAcentral.